RNAcentral lists this long non-coding RNA (871 nucleotides) under Zostera marina. RNAcentral describes it as "long non-coding RNA (ZMAR_LNC005613)". The record is from RNAcentral. Lineage: Eukaryota; Viridiplantae; Streptophyta; Magnoliopsida; Alismatales; Zosteraceae.
GAUCGAUGAGAAAAAAAACCGAUAUAUAAACCAAUCUGUCUAGAAAACAAAAUCUGUCAAUUUUACUUGUCAAUCGCAAAACAAAAUUGCAAGAACCAUACAAUCACAUAGAGAAAAGAAAGAAGAAAAAAAUUGCCAAACCUGAUGCGGCAUACAAAAAAUCGCGAUAUCAAAACCGACUAUGUAAAAUCGAAAACGGAAAAAAUCAAAUGAAAUCGUAAAUCCGCGAUGACCAGAUCAACAAUGCAAUAUCAAACAGAACGCAAUCGCCAGAGAAAAUUUCGCAACGAAAUCCUUUACCUGAAACAAAUCCACACCGAAAUCGGAGGGCUGAACCGUAAACAAUUUCAAAAAAAAAUUCGGAAAUCGGUCUGUAAACGAAAUCAGAUGAUGUUGAAAUCGAAAACGGAAAUUAAAAUAAAGAAAUCAAAGUCGGAAACUAUUUCACACGAAAUCGAAAUUGCAAAACAAAUUAAUACAGAAUGAAAUUGAUAAAUCGACUACACGGAAUUGAGCACACGGAUCAAUACGAAUAAAAAAAUGAAAUCGGAAAACGGAAUCAAUAUGAAUGCAAAACAGAUCAAUUAAUUAAAAAAAUAAUCAAAUCGGCAAUCGAUCGGCUCUGCAACGAACAGAUCCAUGUGCUGCAACGAACAAAUCCACACGCUGCAAUGAACAGAUCUACGUGCUGCAACGAACUGUAACCAGAUCCAACCGAGCAUACAAACUGCAACCAGAAUGCGAGCACAAGACUAGACGGAAACGGUGAAUUAGAAUCCGUCAGACGAACGUAAAAUCGCAAAGUCACAGAAUCGCAAGAUCAAAAUCCAAAAUCGCUCUGAUACCAUAUUAAGAGUUCAAAACUUAAUUG